GACGCCGGCGAUGGCAGUCGGCCACGUCCCCUCCAGCCCCGCAGGUCUGUCACCUCUCUCCGGGACCGGUUUCUGCUCGUGUCACAGCCCUGUCCUCCGGAUGGCAACUACGGGAGAAAGUGCACUAUUUCUGCUGCAGCUUCCUGUCCUUGACCCAACGGUACAUUGUGAAGUUCUCCUGAGUCAAUGAAUCCUGAUAAAAUGCAGUAAAGGAUUUAAGGUUAUCAUCUGUCUCUCCCUAACUUCUGACAUCUCUUUAUAACAAGAAAGAGCCACAGCCAACUGUAACAGGAGGGCAACACAAUGAAUCCUG
Long non-coding RNA from Chroicocephalus ridibundus (black-headed gull), 313 nucleotides. RefSeq lists it as uncharacterized. The transcript has 3 exons. NCBI's taxonomy places the organism in Eukaryota, Metazoa, Chordata, Aves, Charadriiformes, Laridae. The record is from RefSeq and is a predicted model, not a curated record.